Molecule: non-coding RNA, 74 nt
Organism: Ameiurus melas (black bullhead)
Lineage: Eukaryota; Metazoa; Chordata; Actinopteri; Siluriformes; Ictaluridae
Source: the annotation of a GenBank genome assembly
GUGGCUGUGGCGCAGGUGGUAGAGUGGACUGUCCACUAAUCGUAGGGUUGGGGGUUCAAUUCCCGGCCUCCACA